CGAUGCAAGACCGUGUUUUGCAGACCUCAGCUUUUUGCUUGGCAGUCGGCAAAACGGCGCGCAAAAAUAACUUAGGCCGACAAUUUCUGCAAUUAAAUGUUGUCUUUAUGUGCGAGUGUUCUUAAGCUUAAAUUGCUUUAUUAUUUUGUAUUAUUUUUUUUUUGUGGAGAACCGAUGAAAGCUGGCAAUGCUCCGCUCUACAAACAUACACAUGUAUGUAUGUAAUUAAAUGUGCACGUGCAGCGCCCCUAGACCGGCUCGCCGUAUUGCGCCCAAAUGUAUAGAUUUCCUAUAUGUUUUUGGAGCCAUGGAGUUUUGAAUAGCUGGGUUCCCCCUUUGUGGCGCCCACUUUACGCUGCAGACCAUCAAAUUUUCGACAAGUCCAAGGAGCUCUUCAAAUAUGGCAACACCGACUGUAUGUUUGUUGUCACGUGGCGAAACUUCGAUUUCAAAAGGAGUUACAACAAUGGUGGAAGCUGCGAAAAUUCGGAGAGUCCCUCACGCAUGCGCACUUCAUAUGAAAGAACCAUUGCCAAGUCGAAAACGUCGAAAGAGAUAUACAUAAGUCCAUAAGUAUCCUCGAAUGAUGAUGAUAAUGGAGGAUAAGACUCAUCGCAUAUCCCAAGCUCUACCUUGCUUGGAAUUUUUGGAGCUUCAUCCUCUUUUUGAAGCUACAUAUCUAGAAGGACCUUCUUGAGGCAUAAACUCGAAACACAAUAAAACAAACAACCAAAAUGUUUUAUAUAAAUAUUAUUAUCAACAAAAAUAA
Molecule: long non-coding RNA, 769 nt
Organism: Drosophila pseudoobscura
Lineage: Eukaryota; Metazoa; Arthropoda; Insecta; Diptera; Drosophilidae
Exons: 5
Source: RefSeq, a predicted model, not a curated record